This 560-nucleotide small RNA is filed under the name Pan troglodytes (chimpanzee). RNAcentral describes it as "processed transcript". The record is from RNAcentral. Lineage: Eukaryota; Metazoa; Chordata; Mammalia; Primates; Hominidae.
AGUAGGUAUGGAGAAGCCAAGGGAGGCACUAAGCCUCUCCUGUUCCUAGAACAAGUUAGGCUCCUGUUCCUUCACCCACCUUUCUUCUUGUCUAGCUCCCUACUCCUGAUCCAUGCCUUCCAGUAUGUCAUCUAUGGAACUGCCUCUUUCUUCUUCCUUUAUGGGGCCCUCCUGCUGGCUGAGGGCUUCUACACCACCGGCGCAGUCAGGCAGAUCUUUGGCGACUACAAGACCACCAUCUGCGGCAAGGGCCUGAGCGCAACGUUUGUCGGCAUCACCUAUGCCCUGACCGUUGUGUGGCUCCUGGUGUUUGCCUGCUCUGCUGUGCCUGUGUACAUUUACUUCAACACCUGGACCACCUGCCAGUCUAUUGCCUUCCCCAGCAAGACCUCUGCCAGUAUAGGCAGUCUCUGUGCUGAUGCCAGAAUGUAUGGUGUUCUCCCAUGGAAUGCUUUCCCUGGCAAGGUUUGUGGCUCCAAUCUUCUGUCCAUCUGCAAAACAGCUGAGUUCCAAAUGACCUUCCACCUGUUUAUUGCUGCAUUUGUGGGGGCUGCAGCUAC